This 690-nucleotide ribosomal RNA is filed under the name uncultured bacterium. RNAcentral describes it as "bacterial SSU rRNA". It matches the Rfam family "Bacterial small subunit ribosomal RNA", at positions 32 to 715 of the family's 1533-position model. The record is from RNAcentral.
AACGCUAGCUACAGGCUUAACACAUGCAAGUCGAGGGGCAGCACAGUGUAGCAAUACACGGGUGGCGACCGGCGCACGGGUGCGUAACGCGUAUCCAACCUUCCCGUUACUCUUGGAUAGCCUUCCGAAAGGGAGAUUAAUACAAGAUGGUAUUCAAAUUCCGCAUGUUAUUUGAAUUAAAGAUUUAUCGGUAACGGAUGGGGAUGCGUGACAUUAGAUAGUAGGCGGGGUAACGGCCCACCUAGUCUACGAUGUCUAGGGGUUCUGAGAGGAAGGUCCCCCACACUGGAACUGAGACACGGUCCAGACUCCUACGGGAGGCAGCAGUGAGGAAUAUUGGUCAAUGGUCGGAAGACUGAACCAGCCAAGUAGCGUGAAGGAUGAAGGUUCUAUGGAUUGUAAACUUCUUUUAUACGGGAAUAAAACACCUUACGUGUAGGGUCUUGUAUGUACCGUAUGAAUAAGCAUCGGCUAACUCCGUGCCAGCAGCCGCGGUAAUACGGAGGAUGCGAGCGUUAUCCGGAUUUAUUGGGUUUAAAGGGAGCGUAGACGGGAUGUUAAGUCAGUUGUGAAAGGCUGCGGCUCAACCGCAACACUGCAGUUGAUACUGGCGUCCUUGAGUGCGGUUGAGGUAUGUGGAAUUCGUGGUGUAGCGGUGAAAUGCUUAGAUAUCACGAAGAACUCCGAUUG